RNAcentral lists this long non-coding RNA (3585 nucleotides) under Panax ginseng (ginseng). Its description in RNAcentral is "long non-coding RNA (PGIN_LNC018112)". The record is from RNAcentral. Lineage: Eukaryota; Viridiplantae; Streptophyta; Magnoliopsida; Apiales; Araliaceae.
ACUCAACCAACGAACUAAAAACGGUCUAAGCUUAUUUAGAUCGCUGAAGCAAAAACAGAACACGCGGGUCAAAAAAAGAACCCAUUCCAUAUCAGUUUCAACACACUGUGUGCUCUCACUCUUCCCUCUCUCUCUCUAUCAGCGACCCUGUCCCUCUCUCUUUCUAUCAGCGUGCCUGAAGCAAAUCGGAAGGGUAAAAAAGCGAUCGAACAGGUGGUGUUGCAAAUCGGAAGGUAAAGAUUCCAACAAAGACAAUCGGAAGGUAAAGAUUCCUACUUAAUUUUGUAAUUUCUGUUUGAUUUGAAAGAAAUCUAGGGUUUGUUUUGGGGAAAGUGUAUUGUUGAUGUGAUGGCCUCUUUGUUCUCUGUUUUCUCCAUAUACAAACAUCAUAUACAAGCCGUUUUUGUUCUCUGUUUACUACAUCUCCGUCUUAAGGGCCUCUUUCUUAUGUUUAUAUUUUUAUUUUUAUGUUACUUUUUACCCAUUAGCGGCUUGUUGACAUCAUAGGUUUAUACAUAGAUAAUAAAGCUUGGAACUCAGGGAGUACCAACUUUCUUGGCUUUUUUCUUCUUUUUUUUAUUUAUUUACCAAUUCAUAUACUUUGAGUUAUUAACCUCAAUCUUAAAGUGCUAGUAUCGCUGAUUCUUUGUCAUGAAAAUUGAGGCCCUCUUCUUAUCCUAGAACCAUAAUUGUAAGUGUACUCAAUCAUGACCCUGUGAGACUUGGUUACUGCUAUUCAAACACCACUUAAAUUUAAAUUCUUAAGGGCCUCAAUCAUAAAAAAGAAUAAAAAGGUUAAUUUAGUGAUUGAGUUUUGGUUGGAUCAAGUGGAGAUGAAAAAACAUAAUUCAAAAAUUGUCUCAUUGAGUAGUACUCCAUGUAUUACUGCAGAGUUUUAUAUAAUAAGUAUGAAAUCUAUCCACGAGACUUAAGACAUUAAGGUACAAUUUAGUUGUCCUUAUAAAUAUUAGCCAAUUAAGUUUUCAAUUGAGCAAGGACCCUGUCUAAUUAAAGCAUUAAUUGAGUAAGAAUCUUCUUAUUCAAAAUAGUACUACCAUAUUUUUAAUAUACAUACCCUUGGUUAUCCUUUUUGCUUGGGGUUGUGAGACCUUGGAGAGGAAUGGCAGAAUUCUGAGCUCCCAACUUGAAGUUCAGAACACGAAUUUUCAGUUGGAUAGGGAGCAUAGGAAAGAUCAUGGAAAUAGCCAUAUUGUUGUUCUUAGUAACGAGGGGUAUAAGAGAGAAGGUCCAAACGAGUUCUCAUAUUUCAUUCAUCAUCAAAAGAAUCUCACAGUAGCUGAACUAGGCAUAUUUAAGAGAGAUCCUAGUGAUUCUCUGUUACAUAAAACAAAGAAAAAGAUUAAGCAUUGCCUUAAUUCUAGAAAUAUCCUUAAUUAGUAAUUACUAGAGUACUCCUUCAAGUUCUGCAAUUCCUAAUAUAUAAUUUUCACUACAGGCAACUAUGAAUGUCUAAGAAGCAUCAGGUGUGUGCCAUAAGGGAAUUUGGCAGUUCUACAAAUCUCAGAAAAUAGGUUUUGUGGAUUUGGCACAUAAAUUAUAAAUAUAAGUACAUACAAAUAUAUUACGUAUGCACAUACAUUAACAUUUAAAUGCACAUAAAGAUCAUGCAGAUGUUAUUCAAACAUAAUUGUAAGUGUACUCAAUCAUGACCCUGUGAGACUUGGUUAAUGCUAUUCAAACACCACUUAAAUUUAAAUUCUCAAGGGCCUCAAUCAUAAAUUUUUUUUGUCAUAUGCCCUUUGGAACUCCUGCACAGCUAGAUUAUAUAUUUAUAAAUUUGCAAGUGAUGGUUAAUACACAGUUACUUGAGAUGUCAAAAACUUAAACCACUAAAUGUGUCCUGAAUUUUAUCCACAAUAUAUAAGGUAACCAUGCCAAAAAUAACAGACCAUUGAUUCAUGAUGUAUGUUACAUUGAAGAUGGAAGAACAAUUUCAUAUACCAAGUAUCAAGCACCAAAGAAAUGAUGCUUGUAUAUGGAGAAAUUUGGUAAGGCUUCGGUGAAGUAAAACUUUACAUACUGUAAUAUCUAAAAUACUUGUACUCUCAUGAUGAGAUAGUUUUACCUUGUCUCAACUCAGAAAGCGAAGCUUGAGUUCAGAGUUGGUUUUUCACCAGCAUAUAUUUAGUUAGCAUCCGGUUGCAGCAUAUAUUACCAUGUACCAAUUUUUAUGAUGUUCAUGAUAUCAUUUUCUAGUUUAAUAUGAUUGGAAAUUGGUCUGCACCUAACAAAGAUGAAAUUAGGAAACACUUCUGAGAUCUUUUGUUUCAUUUAUAUUCUUCACAUAUGUAUGUUUGCUAUUUGAGUUGUCAUCUAUCUAAUAAACUGUUUUUCUGAUAUGGGUGAAAUGACAAAAUAAGUAAGUACAAAAAUGAAUAUUUAGGUUUAUUUUUCUGGUUCAAAGAUGCAUAAGUUAUUUUCUUAUAUCUAAAGUGGUGAUAGUUUUAGAAAUUUUUUUGUAUCUAAUUAACAAGCUAACGUAAUUCAUUCAAAUAUACAAUAUGAAAUUAUUGUUGUUCGGUUUUAUGCAUGCCUGCUGAUAGAAAAUAUGUCAUCAAAUUCGUUUACUGCUACAUCUGUAUGGCCUCCGUUCAUAUGUCGUUGUGGCACGGGCCUUUAUAUAGUAGAUUUUUCAAUGUCGGAAAAGAAUCCGGGUAGACACUAUUAUUCUUGCCCAAGAAUGGUAUGAAUUUAUUUAAUGUUAUUUUUGUAUAUUUUUUCCUUUUACACAAGUGAAUAAAUUUAUUGUUUCCCGAAAUAUGCAACAAUGUGGUAACUUCAUCAGCUGGUGUGACGAAUAUGUUCGAUUGUUGCAUAAUCAAGGGAGAUUGCAUAUGGACACAUCCGAGCGUUUAAAUAUAACAACUCAUCCAAUGAAUACUAACGACUCCAACGAAUUAGCGAUGGUGAAAAUUGAAUUAUGUCAAUUGCAUCUAACUGUGCGAUUUGUCAUAAUUGUUAAUGUUAUGUAUGCGGUGUUGUUGUUAAUGUUAUUAAAUCGGUUGUAAUUUUGAUAAUUUUCAUUAUCUAACCAACACGUUAUGUAUGCAGUGUAUAAUUUGUGGUUUACAAUAUUAUAUAUGUUGAGAUGGACAUCAAUAGAACGUUUUAUACCGUUGUACGUGUUCGUGGUGUUAUUUGUUACAAGUAUAUGAUGGUUCUAACAGACAUUUCUGUGUUCAUGUUAUUUGGAACCGAGGGAGCUUGUAUUAAUGUAAAUGUGACGCUAAAUAUAUCAGGUUCAUAGUGAUCUAAAAUUACAUGUUUUACUCAAUAGGAUUUGGUGCCAGUUUUGCUUAGUGGAUGUAUCUUCUUAAAUUUUGAUACCAUGUAGGUUUAAUGACAUGGUAUAAAAGUUAUAAUGGUUAGUAAUUUACUACUUACACUGGAACUGAAGCAUGAACAAGAUCAAGUGGAUAUAAGAUUCUGGAGGCCUUUGACUGCAAAAGAACAAGUGGGUUUGAAGAUUUUUCAUGCUAAUUAAGAUGGUCUAUGUUUCAAUUGAUUUAGUUAUUGUAAGACCCCAACUUUUAUGAAUAAAGAUGAAUUUUUUUUAAAAUAUUA